Molecule: non-coding RNA, 86 nt
Filed under: unclassified sequences
Source: RNAcentral
AGUUAAUUGCCACCGGGUAAUGAAUGUCAGCAUUCGAUUGCAUAUCGUUAGGUCUUAGAAGAUAUGCCGUCGGAUGCUUUUUUGAU